RNAcentral lists this long non-coding RNA (735 nucleotides) under Rattus norvegicus (Norway rat). RNAcentral's name for it is "long non-coding RNA NONRATT016518". The record is from RNAcentral. Lineage: Eukaryota; Metazoa; Chordata; Mammalia; Rodentia; Muridae.
AACAGCGGCAGGAAGUGCAGCUUUACACUAACUAAGCAUCCACCCAAAUCGUGCCGGCUUCGGCUUGACAAUGGUCCUUUGCAGGACACCUCUUUGCCUCAUCCUGCAAAAGAAUCUGACACAAUAGGAUGGAGGUUUUGCUGCUUCGGGGUCUGUCUAGCAACACCUGAAGAAGAUUGGUCUGCCAUGAGUGAGGUCAGGCUAACUACUGCCCCCUCCAGUACUCACUGCAGUUGGGGGCGGGGCCUGUUUCAGACACUCAGGAAGCACUAAGAAGACCUCUCCCUUGCCCACCUGUGGGGAUACAGCUUUUGUCUGCUUGGGGAUGGGAUAGAGGAAAAACGUUGCCUCUGCAUACAAAGAUUAGAAUGAAAAUAUGCUUGCCUAAGCAUAGAAAACCGGCAAGAUAGGACCCACUGGGAUUGACGUGGUCUCUGCGGAGGCACAAGAAGGAGAACGAGAAAUAGGAGACACAGUGCCCUCAGAAUUCUUCUGUACUACACAAAAUAUAAUAAUAAAAUAAGUGGUGUGUGUGUGUGUGUGUGUGUGUGUGUGUGUGUGUGUGGUACUGGUUUGUACGUGCAGGCGAGUGUACUAUGCAGUGGUCGGAGGACAGCAUGGGUGUUGGUUCUUUCCUUUCAUCUUGUUGGCAGCUUCCUACGUCAGGUUAGCUGGCCCACUAACUUUGCGUGGUUCUUCUUCCUCUGCCUCUCUCCUGGAGGGAGGGUCUGGGGU